GCAGCGAAAUGCGAUACGUAAUGUGAAUUGCAGAAUUCAGUGAAUCAUCGAAUCUUUGAACGCACCUUGCACUCUUUGGUAUUCCGAAGAGUAUGUCUGUUUGAGUGUCAUGAAACUCUCAACCCCCUUGUUUUGUAAUGAGACAAGCGUGGGCUUGGAUUAUGGCUGCUGCCGGCUUUCAUUAGUCGACUCGGCUGAAAUACACGAGCUACCCCGAUUUCUAUUAGAGAAACAAACGGCUUGACUCGGCGUAAUAACAUAUUUCGCUGAGGACGUUACAUUCUCUAAGUUAUAAAGAAUCUUAGUGGUGCUUCUAAUGCGUCUGUUCAGUCAGACACCUUAAGCUUUAGACCUCAAAUCAGUCAGGACUACCCGCUGAACUUAAGCAUAUCAAUA
This 396-nucleotide ribosomal RNA is filed under the name uncultured Sakaguchia. RNAcentral describes it as "eukaryotic LSU rRNA". The stretch from base 1 to 110 matches the Rfam family "5.8S ribosomal RNA", at positions 45 to 154 of the family's 154-position model. Lineage: Eukaryota; Fungi; Basidiomycota; Cystobasidiomycetes; Erythrobasidiales; Erythrobasidiaceae. The record is from RNAcentral.